This 76-nucleotide transfer RNA is filed under the name Deltaproteobacteria bacterium. RNAcentral describes it as "tRNA-Leu". It matches the Rfam family "tRNA". Rfam says of the family: Transfer RNA (tRNA) molecules are approximately 80 nucleotides in length. Their secondary structure includes four short double-helical elements and three loops (D, anti-codon, and T loops). Lineage: Bacteria; Pseudomonadati; Myxococcota; Myxococcia. The record is from RNAcentral. RNAcentral also lists the same sequence under 1 other name.
GUCGCCGUAGACCAACGGAAGAGUCGGUGGUCUCAGAAGCCACUCAGUGGAGGUUCGAAUCCUCUCGGCGGCACCA